RNAcentral lists this long non-coding RNA (1438 nucleotides) under Lathyrus oleraceus (garden pea). RNAcentral describes it as "Pisum sativum (pea) long non-coding RNA (PSAT_LNC033293)". Lineage: Eukaryota; Viridiplantae; Streptophyta; Magnoliopsida; Fabales; Fabaceae. The record is from RNAcentral.
UGAAAAGAUAUGCUGCCUUAUUAACGCAAAUGAAUAAGUAGUGCACUACACAUACACAACAUCAAAACAAGGAAAGUCCAAUGAAGGAACUGUACUCUAAUGGCUUGUGCAUGCGCUCUAAUCUUUCUCAGUAUUAGUUUCUUCUCUUCUCUUUCUUCAAAUCAAGGUAUAACGAAAUCGACGGAAGCAUUAGUACAAGCGCUGCUUGCUGAAGACACAAGGGAUGCUCCCAUGUCAGUAAUAGAAAUACAGAAUAAUCAAAUGAAAGUAUGAAACUAGUUAUUGUCUGAAUGAAGUAAAUAAGAAAACAACAUUUGUACAGCAGAAGACAGAAGAAAAUUGUACUGGUAAGAAAGCUAGAGGAUUCAUGACACUGAUAAAUUCUUGGUUAUUCUGCAGCAACAACAUUGCCACAGAAACACACAACAUUUACUCAACUAUCACCUAAGACAAAGUACUGCCUCUUUUUUUCUAGCCACUGACGCAAUCAGGCAGGGUGGUUCCAACCAACACCAUUUGUAAAAGGAAGGAUAAUGUUGGUUCUCCAUUGAAACAAACUGGAAUUCGAGUCACCACAAUCCAAUCAAAAUUGUAUAUGAACUAGUACACACAAUCAGCUACUUAAAAGCUAAAGCUGUACUCCAAUACGAAAACGAACCGAAGUUCCACUUCUUCCACAUCACCAUGAUGACCCCUAAUCAGUUUCCCAUAUAUAACUAUGAAAUAAAACCCUAACUGCACCACUAUCCUAAAUGUGAUAACAACCAGAACAAGUAAGCUGUAACUCUUAUCUUUCUGGAGUGUUUAAGAUCUCUUUUCCUUUCUCUCCUACAUGUUCCUAAAAAAAAAGAUCAAAGAACGCACAACAUACUGAGGCGAUGUUAGAAACCUCACUCCAAAGUCAUCAUGCAAUGCAAAAGUACAUUUAACAAAAUUUGCAACAAACAAAAUGUAAACUAAAACACUUCCCAUAAAUGAAGAAAAAUCCAAAAACCACCAACUUCCUCAUCCUCUGGCCAUUAAUCACUCCAUCCUCAACACACAACAAAAACCUUAUCCAAAAACCAACACUAUUUCAAUAAUUUCAUAGAUUAUAAUAAGAGUCACAAUACAUAACUCCAUUGUUUCCUCAAUACACAUAAACUAAAACUAAAUCCUAAGCAACGAAUUUCAAAAACAGCAUGCAAAAACCACUCUCAUAAACCCUAAAUCUGCCAUAAAUAGAAACAUCAACAGCAAUCAGUGUAUCCAGUUCACAAAAACUUCAAAAACAAACAUAUAGAUUAACAUAAACUUAACAAAGCACAGAUAAACUCAACAACAGUAUUUACGAGCAUGAGAAAGAACAGAAAAGUACUCUCCAGCGUUUCAGUCGAUUAAUAGAAGCGUGCUUUGUUCUAGCAAUAUCAAGGAUCGGAAAAAUCACCGUCAUCAUCAA